RNAcentral lists this ribosomal RNA (221 nucleotides) under uncultured eukaryote. Its description in RNAcentral is "partial small subunit ribosomal RNA". The record is from RNAcentral.
GGUGCAAUUGCUUUAUGGCGGCGACAUCCCGGCGCACGAAUGGUUGUUUUCAUAUUAGCGGCGUACUCUGCAACAGUGGCGUUAUUCUUCUUCAGUAGCCGUUUCCGCCUGCCCGUCAUGCCUUACUAUUGUCUGUUGGCUGCCGCCGGACUGGCCUGGGUUUGGAAGCAGCGUCUCCGACGGUUCGUUCUCGUUGCCGGGGCAACGGCAGCAAUGCUCGG